Molecule: ribosomal RNA, 253 nt
Filed under: uncultured bacterium
Lineage: Bacteria
Description: partial 16S ribosomal RNA
Rfam family: Bacterial small subunit ribosomal RNA
Source: RNAcentral
UACGGAGGGAGCUAGCGUUGUUCGGAAUUACUGGGCGUAAAGCGCGCGUAGGCGGCUUUGUAAGUUAGAGGUGAAAGCCCGGGGCUCAACCCCGGAAUUGCCUUUAAGACUGCAUCGCUUGAAUCCGGGAGAGGUGAGUGGAAUUCCGAGUGUAGAGGUGAAAUUCGUAGAUAUUCGCAAGAACACCAGUGGCGAAGGCGGCCAACUGGUCCGGUACUGACGCUGAGGUGCGAAAGCGUGGGGAGCAAACAGG